This 245-nucleotide ribosomal RNA is filed under the name uncultured Candidatus Hydrogenedens sp. RNAcentral's name for it is "partial 16S ribosomal RNA". It matches the Rfam family "Bacterial small subunit ribosomal RNA", at positions 524 to 768 of the family's 1533-position model. Lineage: Bacteria; Pseudomonadati; Candidatus Hydrogenedentota; Candidatus Hydrogenedentia; Candidatus Hydrogenedentales; Candidatus Hydrogenedentaceae. The record is from RNAcentral.
UACGGAGGUUGCAAGCGUUGUUCGGAAUAACUGGGCGUAAAGGGAGCGCAGGCGGCCUGCUUAGUCUGAAGUGAAAUCCCGGGGCUCAACCCCGGACGUGCUUUGGAUACUGGCAGGCUUGAGUACGUGAGAGGAAAGCGGAAUUCCAGGUGUAGCGGUGAAAUGCGUAGAUAUCUGGAGGAACACCGGUGGCGAAAGCGGCUUUCUGGCACGUAACUGACGCUGAGGCUCGAAAGCGUGGGGAG